CUUAAAAAUAUUACAAACAGCGUUUCUUCAGGUGCUUUUAGGCAACUGGCAAAGCAACAGAGUAGGCCAUGAUUUUCAAACACACAUUGCCUGUAUAUGAAAAAUACAACUGGUCGUUACUAGGGAGAUUGAAGGUUGGAGGUAAAGGUUGUAUUAAUUAUUCAAGUCCUACAUUUGGAUAACAAACGGGUGGCAACUGAAUGCCGAUUUAAUUAGAUAGAUUUAUUCAACUUAAAAGACUCGCAGCCUUGCACGUCGGCUGAAUAAUGUUAAGUUGUACAAGUACAUGUAAAAAAUUAGAUCGACGAACCGUAAUAAAAAUUAGUUCGAUUCAGUUACGUGUUUACAUGCAUUACAAUUAAUAAAAUCAUUCUUAAAUCUAUUUGUCUUAAAAUUAGGAAUUUGAAACAUUCUUCCUCGCAGGCAUAGUUCUGAAGAGUUCAUUGGAGGCAAUAAGUCAUGUAGUUUAUUAACGAAUAACGUUCUCAGGAUCGUGGACUAUAUUUUUAAAAAGUUUGUUAGUUAAGUUCUGUCUUCUUGCAGCCAAGGUAGUGCGACCCAAUUGACCCAGGGCUUCAUUACACCGAUGAUCUGGCAAUAUUAUUCGACAAUAUUGAUAUGGGCGAUAAUUAAAUUGCCUAAAUUAAAUUCAAUGACAGGCCUAAGAGUAUGUUCUGGAGCGGGUCGAAAGGAAAAAUAGUUCUGCACAUUUGUGAAAACGUUGAUAAUUAUGGACGGCCCAUCCUCGUUUGACGAGGCCACGCAUGACGAGAUCACGCAUGACGAGGCCACGCAUGACGAGGCCACGCAUGA
Non-coding RNA from Paramuricea clavata, 813 nucleotides. The record is from the annotation of a GenBank genome assembly. NCBI's taxonomy places the organism in Eukaryota, Metazoa, Cnidaria, Anthozoa, Malacalcyonacea, Plexauridae.